UUGUUGUCCUGGUGUAAGGACGUAGGGCGAGAGAUAGGCAAAUCCGUCUCUCACAUAGCCUGAGAUCCGAUGCGUACCCCUCACGGGGAAAAUCAGUGAUCCUAUGCUGCCGAGAAAAGCAUCGACGCGAGGUUCUAGCCGCCCGUACCCCAAACCGACUCAGGUGGGUAGGUAGAGAAUACCAAGGAGAUCGAGAGAAUCGUGGUUAAGGAACUCGGCAAAAUGCCCCCGUAACUUCGGGAGAAGGGGGGCCUAAGGCGUGAACGGACUUGCUCCGGAAGCGCUGCAGGGCCGCAGAGACCAGUGGGAAGCGACUGUUUACUAAAAACACAGGUCCGUGCGAAGACGCAAGUCGAUGUAUACGGACUGACGCCUGCCCGGUGCUGGAAGGUUAAGAGGAAGGGUUAGCUUCGGCGAGGCUCUGAAUUUAAGCCCCAGUAAACGGCGGUGGUAACUAUAACCAUCCUAAGGUAGCGAAAUUCCUUGUCGGGUAAGUUCCGACCUGCACGAAUGGCGUAACGACUUCCCAGCUGUCUCAACCGCGAACUCGGCGAAAUUGCACUACGAGUAAAGAUGCUCGUUACGCGCAGCAGGACGGAAAGACCCCGUGACCUUUACUACAGCUUGGUAUUGGUGUUCGGUGUGGCUUGUGUAGGAUAGGUGGGAGACUUUGAAGCUGGCACGCUAGUGUCGGUGGAGUCGUUGUUGAAAUACCACUCUGGUCACUCUGGAUGUCUAACUACGAACCGUAAUCCGGUUCUGGGACAGUGCCUGGUGGGUAGUUUAACUGGGGCGGUUGCCUCCCAAAAAGUAACGGAGGCGCCCAAAGGUUCCCUCAACCUGGUUGGCAAUCAGGUGUCGAGUGUAAGUGCACAAGGGAGCUUGACUGUGAGAGUGACGGCUCGAGCAGGGACGAAAGUCGGGACUAGUGAUCCGGCAGUGGCUUGUGGAAGCGCUGUCGCUCAACGGAUAAAAGGUACCUCGGGGAUAACAGGCUGAUCUUGCCCAAGAGUCCAUAUCGACGGCAUGGUUUGGCACCUCGAUGUCGGCUCGUCGCAUCCUGGGGCUGGAGUAGGUCCCAAGGGUUGGGCUGUUCGCCCAUUAAAGCGGUACGCGAGCUGGGUUUAGAACGUCGUGAGACAGUUCGGUCCCUAUCCGCUGCGCGCGUAGGAAAUUUGAGAAGAUCUAUCCCUAGUACGAGAGGACCGGGAUGGACGAACCUCUGGUGUGUCAGUUGUUCCGCCAGGAGCACCGCUGAUUAGCUACGUUCGGACCGGAUAACCGCUGAAAGCAUCUAAGCGGGAAGCCAGCUUCAAGAUGAGAUUUCCAUCCCUUAGGGGGAGAGGCUCGCAGCUAGAUUACUGCGUUGAUAGGCCGGAUGUGGAAGUGGGGACGAAAGACCCAUGCAGCUGACCGGUACUAAUAAGCCGAUAACUU
This 1437-nucleotide ribosomal RNA is filed under the name metagenome. RNAcentral's name for it is "bacterial LSU rRNA". It matches the Rfam family "Bacterial large subunit ribosomal RNA", at positions 1499 to 2925 of the family's 2925-position model. The record is from RNAcentral.